GACGAACGCUGGCGGCGUGCUUAACACAUGCAAGUCGAACGGAAAGGCCCUGCUUUUGUGGGGUGCUCGAGUGGCGAACGGGUGAGUAACACGUGAGUAACCUGCCCUUGACUUUGGGAUAACUUCAGGAAACUGGGGCUAAUACCGGAUAGGAGCUCCUGCUGCAUGGUGGGGGUGGGAAAGUUUCGGCGGGUGGGGAUGGACUCGCGGCUUAUCAGCUUGUUGGUGGGGUAGGGGCUUACCAAGGCUUUGACGGGUAGCCGGCCUGAGAGGGUGACCGGCCACAUUGGGACUGAGAUACGGCCCAGACUCCUACGGGAGGCAGCAGUGGGGAAUAUUGCACAAUGGGCGGAAGCCUGAUGCAGCAACGCCGCGUGCGGGAUGACGGCCUUCGGGUUGUAAACCGCUUUCGCCUGUGACGAAGCGUGAGUGACGGUAAUGGGUAAAGAAGCACCGGCUAACUACGUG
Molecule: ribosomal RNA, 468 nt
Filed under: uncultured bacterium
Lineage: Bacteria
Description: partial 16S ribosomal RNA
Rfam family: Bacterial small subunit ribosomal RNA
Source: RNAcentral